UUUUUUUUUUUUGUUUGUUCUGAUUUGCAUAAAUUAGAAAAUGAUUUCAUAAUUCUCUCAAUUCAGUAGGCUGUUUUGAAUAAGAAUAUAGUAAAUGAAUAAUUCAUUCUUUAAAAUAUAAGGUUAUUCUGCUGGAAAAAGUCAUUUAAGAAAAGCUUAUGAUUGCAUGUGAGGCAAAUUCAUUCAUUUAAAGAAAGCCACUGUGCAAGCCACACGUAUCAGCUAAAUGAAAUUAGGUUUUGCAGCUUAGGCCUCAGAUCAUGGCUUUUAAGACAAUCGAAACAGUAUUAGUGGCCUUUUGCCAAAAAAAAAAAGAGUGUAUUUUCCUGUGAAAGACCAUUACAAAAAGAUCAUAAAUAGAAAUAGAACUAUAAACACAAUACUGUCGUAUAAGCAUACUUAUUGUUAAAAUUUUGUAUUGACUAAUUAAAGAAUUUCAGGAAUUUGGGGACAAUUUAUGUGUAAACGUGAUGCAUGAUCCAAACAUUUUUAUGCUUUCUGGGUCAGAUGAUCAUUAAACCAGUUUUUUAUGAAUAGAUUUGAAAAGUUACUCUGAAAAGUUACUCCCUUUCUUCUCGUUUAGUAGGAAGGAGUGUAAAAAUCAGCAGAGCUGAUAGUGUCUUAGAGUUGGUUAGAGUUGUGCAUUUCAGCAUACUUCGUUUUUUGCAACACCAGAUCAGUUUUGAGUGCAGAAAAAUGAAUACCUUUUCCACAACUCUAACUCAUCAGCGUAUUCUUUUUUUAGGUUAGGAUUUAAAAAAAAAAAUCCCUGAAGGAUUUGGUCACACAUCUUAUCUGAUUUAAUAUUACUGAGAAGGUGUAACCCUUCUCGCCACCUUUAAGAAUACGUAGUAUGUUUUUGUAAUGAAACAUUUGCCUUACGUAAAAGCUGAAUGGAACAAAAGGGCUAACUGUCUGUUAUGGAUCUGACAGGAAUGCUGCUCUUCUUGGAUUUGUGCGGGUUACUAUAUAAUGUUAAUAUAAAAUGAGUGACAAUGUUUGCAUUAUUUGCAUAGAACAUGAGAAUGUUGAGCUAAUUAUUCAACGUAUGAUAUUUUAGUAAAAUAUUUUACUAUA
RNAcentral lists this long non-coding RNA (1077 nucleotides) under Strigops habroptila (Kakapo). Its description in RNAcentral is "lncRNA (ENSSHBG00005019136.1)". The record is from RNAcentral. Lineage: Eukaryota; Metazoa; Chordata; Aves; Psittaciformes; Psittacidae.